RNAcentral lists this ribosomal RNA (425 nucleotides) under uncultured bacterium. RNAcentral's name for it is "partial 16S ribosomal RNA". It matches the Rfam family "Bacterial small subunit ribosomal RNA", at positions 359 to 776 of the family's 1533-position model. The record is from RNAcentral.
GAAUUUGGGACAAUGGGGGAAACCCUGAUCCAGCCAUCCCGCGUGUAUGAUGAAGNCCNNCGGGUNGNAAAGUACUUUUGGCANNNNNGAAAAGGUAUCCCCUAAUACGGGAUACUGCUGACGGUAUCUGCAGAAUAAGCACCGGCUAACUACGUGCCAGCAGCCUCGGUAAUACGUAGGGUGCAAGCGUUAAUCGGAAUUACUGGGCGUAAAGCGUGUGUAGGCGGUUCGGAAAAAAAGAUGUGAAAUCCCAGGGCUCAACCUUGGAACUGCAUAUUUAACCGCCGAGCUAGAGUAUGUCAGAGGGGGGUAGAAUUCCACGUGUAGCAGUGAAAUGCGUAGAUAUGUGGAGGAAUACCGAUGGCGAAGGCAGCCCCCUGGGAUAAUACUGACGCUCAGACACGAAAGCGUAGGGAGCAAACAGG